UAUGUUUAUAAAAAGAGCGUCAUCCACUGUUUAUCAAAAUCGAAACCCUCGUCUUCCUCAUACUCUACACCCACACGAAAUAAUUAGUUUUAGGAAUUGUAGCUGAAUUUAUUGCUCAUGACUGAUUCUAGGUAUGCAUUCAUCCAAAUUUAUGCAUAUGUUCGAGUAUAAAAGAGAGAGCAGAAUCCCUAGAUCUAUUGACGCCGCUGCAUCUUCUUGGUUCUUCUUCUUCCAUUGGCGCCGUUGCAUUCAUUUCACGCCGAUUAUUGUUCCGCUCCAGUCCCCAUCAUCUCCGCCACCGCGAAACAACACAAAACGUAAGUAUCUGUUGGGGAUGGUCUCAGUUGCAUGCAAGAGGAGACGAUUAUCGGGAAGCAAUCUCUGAUGGCAGUUGCUGAUCGCCAAUUACUUUCAAGAGGUAGGAGGGCAUCAAACUGAGUGGAAUUUGGUAAAGAUUUUGGAGAAUGGCUCAGCAGUCGUCGCGGCUUCAUCGGCUGCUCACUUUGUUAGAUACGGGUUCAACCCAGGCUACAAGGUUUUCUGCAGCAAGGCAGAUAGGUGAAAUUGCCAAAUCACAUCCUCAGGACCUGAAUGCUCUCCUGAGUAAGGU
Salvia miltiorrhiza (redroot sage) is the source of this 610-nucleotide long non-coding RNA. RefSeq lists it as uncharacterized. The transcript is spliced from 3 exons. NCBI's taxonomy places the organism in Eukaryota, Viridiplantae, Streptophyta, Magnoliopsida, Lamiales, Lamiaceae. The record is from RefSeq and is a predicted model, not a curated record.